GACGAACGCUGGCGGCGUGCUUAACACAUGCAAGUCGAACGGAAAGGCCCUGCUUUUGUGGGGUGCUCGAGUGGCGAACGGGUGAGUAACACGUGAGUAACCUGCCCUUGACUUUGGGAUAACUUCAGGAAACUGGGGCUAAUACCGGAUAGGAGCUCCUGCUGCAUGGUGGGGGUUGGAAAGUUUCGGCGGUUGGGGAUGGACUCGCGGCUUAUCAGCUUGUUGGUGGGGUAGUGGCUUACCAAGGCUUUGACGGGUAGCCGGCCUGAGAGGGUGACCGGCCACAUUGGGAAUGAGAAAACGCCCAGACUCCUACGGGAGGCAGCAGUGGGGAAUAUUGCACAAUGGGCGGAAGCCUGAUGCAGCAACGCCGCGUGCGGGAUGACGGCCUUCGGGUUGUAAACCGCUUUCGCCUGUGACGAAGCGUGAGUGACGGUAAUGGGUAAAGAAGCACCGGCUAACUACGUG
RNAcentral lists this ribosomal RNA (468 nucleotides) under uncultured bacterium. Its description in RNAcentral is "partial 16S ribosomal RNA". It matches the Rfam family "Bacterial small subunit ribosomal RNA", at positions 28 to 507 of the family's 1533-position model. The record is from RNAcentral.